This 800-nucleotide ribosomal RNA is filed under the name Beltrania rhombica. RNAcentral's name for it is "LSU rRNA". It matches the Rfam family "Eukaryotic large subunit ribosomal RNA", at positions 92 to 920 of the family's 3401-position model. The record is from RNAcentral. Lineage: Eukaryota; Fungi; Ascomycota; Sordariomycetes; Amphisphaeriales; Beltraniaceae.
AGUGAAGCGGGAACAGCUCAAAUUUGAAAUCUGGCCUUCGGGUCCGAAUUGUAAUUUGCAGAGGAUGCUUUUGGUUAGGUACUUUCCGAGUUCCCUGGAACGGGACGCCUUAGAGGGUGAGAGCCCCGUACGGUUGGAUACCGAGCCUUUGUAAAGCUCCUUCGACGAGUCGAGUAGUUUGGGAAUGCUGCUCUAAAUGGGAGGUAAAUUUCUUCUAAAGCUAAAUACCGGCCAGAGACCGAUAGCGCACAAGUAGAGUGAUCGAAAGAUGAAAAGCACUUUGAAAAGAGGGUUAAAUAGCACGUGAAAUUGUUGAAAGGGAAGCGUUUAUGACCAGACUUUUUCCAGGCGAAUCAUCCGGUGUUCUCGCCGGUGCACUUCGUCUGGUUGAGGCCAGCAUCGGUUUUCGUGGGGGGAUAAAAGCGGUGGGAAUGUGACUCCUCCGGGAGUGUUAUAGCCCGCCGUAUAAUACCUCCAUGGGGACCGAGGUUCGCGCUCUGCAAGGAUGCUGGCGUAAUGGUCAUCAACGACCCGUCUUGAAACACGGACCAAGGAGUCGAACAUUUGUGCGAGUGUUUGGGUGUUAAACCCUCACGCGUAAUGAAAGUGAACGGAGGUGAGAGCCCUUACGGGUGCAUCAUCGACCGAUCCUGAUGUUUUCGGAUGGAUUUGAGUAAGAGCAUAACUGUUCGGACCCGAAAGAUGGUGAACUAUGCGUGGAUAGGGUGAAGCCAGAGGAAACUCUGGUGGAGGCUCGCAGCGGUUCUGACGUGCAAAUCGAUCGUCAAAUCUGCGCAUGG